This 44-nucleotide transfer RNA is filed under the name Thinopyrum elongatum. Its description in RNAcentral is "partial tRNA-Met". The record is from RNAcentral. Lineage: Eukaryota; Viridiplantae; Streptophyta; Magnoliopsida; Poales; Poaceae.
GGCUCAUAACCUUGAGGUCACGGGUUCGAUUCCCGUCUCCGCAC